GACGAACGCUGGCGGCGUGCUUAACACAUGCAAGUCGAACGGACAGGCCCUGCUUUUGUUGGUUUCUCGAUUGCCGAACGCGUGAGUAACACGUGAGUAACCUGCCCUUAACUUUGGGAUAACUUCACGAAACUGGGGCUAUUACCCGAUAUGAUCUUCUGCUCCAUGGUGGUGAUUGGAAAGUUUCGGCGGUUGGGGAUGGACUCGCGGCUUAUCCGCUUGUUGGUGGGGUAGUGGCUUACAAAGCCUUUGACGGGUAGCCGGCCUAGGAGGGUGGACGGGGACAUGGGGACUGAGAUACGGAGCAGACGCCUACGGGAGGCAGCAGGGGGGAAUAUUGCACAAUGGGCGGAAGCCUGAGGCAGCAGCGCUGCGAGCGGGAUGACGGCUUUCGGGUGGUAAACAGAUUUCGAAUGUGACGAAGAGUGAGUGACGGUAAUGGGUAAAGAAGCAACGGCUAACUACGUG
This 468-nucleotide ribosomal RNA is filed under the name uncultured bacterium. Its description in RNAcentral is "partial 16S ribosomal RNA". It matches the Rfam family "Bacterial small subunit ribosomal RNA", at positions 28 to 507 of the family's 1533-position model. The record is from RNAcentral.